UCUGGCGAUGAUGACACACUUGCCCUCACUGAGAACGUGGUUCAGUAAUGAGAACCUCACCGAGUACUCAGCUGAGCCAGA
Cairina moschata (Muscovy duck) is the source of this 81-nucleotide small nucleolar RNA. The record is from Ensembl. Lineage: Eukaryota; Metazoa; Chordata; Aves; Anseriformes; Anatidae.